UGCAAGUCGAGGGGUAGAAGCAGCUUGCUGCUUUGAGACCGGCGCACGGGUGCGUAACGCGUAUACAAUCUACCUUUUACAGAGGGAUAGCCCAGAGAAAUUUGGAUUAAUACCUCAUAGUAUCUUCGAAUCGCAUGAUUUGAUUAUUAAAGUUCCAACGGUAAAAGAUGAGUAUGCGUCCCAUUAGCUAGACGGUAAGGUAACGGCUUACCAUGGCAACGAUGGGUAGGGGUCCUGAGAGGGAGAUCCCCCACACUGGUACUGAGACACGGACCAGACUCCUACGGGAGGCAGCAGUGAGGAAUAUUGGACAAUGGGCGCAAGCCUGAUCCAGCCAUGCCGCGUGCAGGAAGUCGGUCCUAUGGAUUGUAAACUGCUUUUAUACAGGAAGAAACACCUCUACGUGUAGAGACUUGACGGUACUGUAUGAAUAAGCAUCGGCUAACUCCGUGCCAGCAGCCGCGGUAAUACGGAGGAUGCAAGCGUUAUCCGGAAUCAUUGGGUUUAAAGGGUCCGUAGGCGGCCAAAUAAGUCAGUGGUGAAAGCCCAUCGCUCAACGAUGGAACGGCCAUUGAUACUGUUUGGCUUGAAUUAUUAGGAAGUAACUAGAAUAUGUAGUGUAGCGGUGAAAUGCUUAGAGAUUACAUGGAAUACCAAUUGCGAAGGCAGGUUACUACUAAUAUAUUGACGCUGAUGGACGAAAGCGUGGGGAGCGAAC
This 718-nucleotide ribosomal RNA is filed under the name uncultured Bacteroidota bacterium. RNAcentral's name for it is "bacterial SSU rRNA". It matches the Rfam family "Bacterial small subunit ribosomal RNA", at positions 56 to 773 of the family's 1533-position model. Lineage: Bacteria; Pseudomonadati; Bacteroidota. The record is from RNAcentral.